This 592-nucleotide ribosomal RNA is filed under the name Pseudomonas putida. RNAcentral describes it as "bacterial SSU rRNA". It matches the Rfam family "Bacterial small subunit ribosomal RNA", at positions 73 to 661 of the family's 1533-position model. The record is from RNAcentral. Lineage: Bacteria; Pseudomonadati; Pseudomonadota; Gammaproteobacteria; Pseudomonadales; Pseudomonadaceae.
GAGAAGCUUGCUUCUCUUGAGAGCGGCGGACGGGUGAGUAAUGCCUAGGAAUCUGCCUGGUAGUGGGGGAUAACGUUCGGAAACGGACGCUAAUACCGCAUACGUCCUACGGGAGAAAGCAGGGGACCUUCGGGCCUUGCGCUAUCAGAUGAGCCUAGGUCGGAUUAGCUAGUUGGUGAGGUAAUGGCUCACCAAGGCGACGAUCCGUAACUGGUCUGAGAGGAUGAUCAGUCACACUGGAACUGAGACACGGUCCAGACUCCUACGGGAGGCAGCAGUGGGGAAUAUUGGACAAUGGGCGAAAGCCUGAUCCAGCCAUGCCGCGUGUGUGAAGAAGGUCUUCGGAUUGUAAAGCACUUUAAGUUGGGAGGAAGGGCAGUUACCUAAUACGUGAUUGUUUUGACGUUACCGACAGAAUAAGCACCGGCUAACUCUGUGCCAGCAGCCGCGGUAAUACAGAGGGUGCAAGCGUUAAUCGGAAUUACUGGGCGUAAAGCGCGCGUAGGUGGUUUGUUAAGUUGGAUGUGAAAUCCCCGGGCUCAACCUGGGAACUGCAUUCAAAACUGACUGACUAGAGUAUGGUAGAGGGGUG